Molecule: long non-coding RNA, 936 nt
Organism: Rhinichthys klamathensis goyatoka
Lineage: Eukaryota; Metazoa; Chordata; Actinopteri; Cypriniformes; Leuciscidae
Exons: 4
Source: RefSeq, a predicted model, not a curated record
UUGAUGAGAGGCAAAGCAGAAACACAACUGUGGGUGAACGGCUUCUUGAGGAGUCAUCUUUGGCUCGGUCAGUCUGAGAGCCUGAUUGGUUCCUGAGGCGGCGUGAGCGUGCGGUGUGUGUGUGUGUGUGUGUGUGUGCUCAUGUCAUGAGGAGCCGGUGCACACACUGCAGCUGAUGCUGAGACAGCACGAGGGAGUGUGUGUGUGUGUGUGUGUGUGCUCAUGUCAUGAGGAGCCGGUGCACACACUGCAGCUGAUGCUGAGACAGCACGAGGGAGAGUGUGUGUGUGUGUGUGUGUGUGUGUGAGUGUGUGCUCAUGUCAUGAGGAGCCGGUGCACACACACUGCAGCUGAUGCUGAGACAGCACGAGGGAGUUGAGUGUAUGUGUGUGUGUGUGUGUGUGUGUGUGUGUGUGUGUGCUCAUGUCAUGAGGAGCCGGUGCACACACUGCAGCUGAUGCUGAGACAGCACGAGGGAGGGAGUGUGUGUGUGUGUGUGUGUGUGUGUGUGUGUGUGUGUGUGUGUGUGUGUUCAUGUCAUGAGGAGCCGGUGCACACACUGCAGCUGAUGCUGAGACAGCACGAGGGAGUGUGUGUGUGUGUGUGUGUGUGUGUGCUCAUGUCAUGAGGAGCCGGUGCACACACUGCAGCUGAUGCUGAGACAGCACGAGGGAGUGUGUGUGUGUGUGUGUGCUCAUGUCAUGAGGAGCCGGUGCACACACUGCAGCUGAUGCUGAGACAGCACGAGGGAGAGUGUGUGUGUGUGUGUGUGUGUGUGUGAGUGUGUGCUCAUGUCAUGAGGAGCCGGUGCACACACACUGCAGCUGAUGCUGAGACAGCACGAGGGAGUUGUAUGUGUGUGUGUGUGUGUGUGUGUGUGUGUGUGUGUGCUCAUGUCAUGAGGAGCCGGUGCACACACUGCAGCUGAUGCUGAGA